This 711-nucleotide long non-coding RNA is filed under the name Gallus gallus (chicken). RNAcentral describes it as "long non-coding RNA NONGGAT001134". Lineage: Eukaryota; Metazoa; Chordata; Aves; Galliformes; Phasianidae. The record is from RNAcentral.
GUUUCCUUUGCAUUCAUCUCUGUGGUUACAGAAGCCACACGAGAUACACGUACAGAAGCCAGACUCGGUGACCCCUACGGGUCUCUUCCAACUCGGGAUAUUCUGAUUCUAUGCACCUCACUUUUCCGGGCACAGUUAACACACGGGGUCACCUCAGUAACGCUUGCUCACCCGAGGUUAUUUUUAAAGAGCGACGCUUGCGCACCCACAACACCCCCGCUCGUCACCUGAGCGCGCCUCCCGUCAGCCAGCCCCGACCGGCCUCCCUCAGCCCCGCACACAGCACAGCAUUAUUCAAGCGAGAAGAGCUGGGCACCCUCAGACGCCCGCCCAGCGCCCUCAGAUCCCGGCAGCCCCUUCCCGCCCCCUCACGAGGAAGCCGCACCCCCGCCCCGACCCCGCGGGAGCCGAGAGCUGCGCGCUCACAAGCGCGGCCCAAAGUCAGGCGCCUGUGCGAGGGUCAGGUAACGGCCUCCCGGCGACGGCCGCCCGCCCGUUACCUCCAUGGCGAAGCCGGCUCGCUGCUAGCGCGGAUGGACCGCGGCGCCCCUGACAGCACCGCUACCCCGCGCCCCCACUUCCGCCUUCGUCAUCCCCGCACGCCGCUAACGCAGCGCGCCCCCCUGCGGCUGACAGCGACCGUCACCGGAGCCCCGCCCCUGGGAGUCACUAGGAUUAUGCUUGGUGCAUGGAGCUAGUUUGGGACAAGGU